CUAGUACGGCUGCCUCCCCGGAUUAGUAUUACGCAAGGCGCCGCUCCUCAAAAUACGCCACAAGGGGCUUCUAUUUCAAAGCUGUAACUCUAUCACUAUGAGCCUCGCAUCGAAUAUGGAAGAAAUCUCGAUAGAGCUGGGCAGCGACCACGACUCUCUGUAUGACGACUCUCUAUUCGAAGAAGCCGACGACGAUGACGACGACUUUGUCUUUUCAAGCAAGUCUGUUCCGCUCGUCAAGGAAUUGAUGAAGCGGCUUCUCAAGGUGUACAGCAGUUUGAAGGAGAAGAGUACAGUUGUGGAGAACGAGAUGGCAGGUGCAACGAGCUCUACUAAUGAAGAGGAGGCCGCCCCCACACCAGCUCUCACUAGCAGUGCCAUCGCCGAGCGCGAAAACGCGCUGCUGAGUCUACUUGAGCUGCAAGAGUUAUAUGGCUUCUUGUGGGCAAGGCUACUGUGUGUAUUGGAUGAGGAAAAUGAGCGCUGCUCAGACUCCUACAUGGCAACGCUGAACAUGCAGGACCGGGUGCCCUUCGAGUCACUUGCUAAUGCAAUCCACCACAAUACUGUUUUCUGUGAUCACAUGGGCGAGGUCCUCGGCCUGAACUACGAGCAGCAGCUCAACAGGGAAGAAGCGAGGAACGCUGUGGGUCGCGAUCUAAUUCUUGAAUUUUACACCCGAAUGGAGCGCACACAGCGCACUGCCUCGCACUGCGCGCUAUUGGUGGUAGAGGGCUCGCGCGAGAGCUUCCUUGAUCCAAUCUCUAUGUACGACUUGUGUAAGGUGCUCGCUACGGAGAAGAAUCCUCGCAAGCGGCUUGUUCCGCUAUCGCUCAUGUUCAGCAUGCUCGAUCAAGACGAGCAAACUGUAUCGGAAGCGCUAGCACAGAAUAUGCCGAAGGUGCUGCUGCAGCGCUUUCGUCACUGGGUCCAUCAGCUAUAUGGGUACUUCCCGCUUCACAGGGAAACCACGUUGACUUCGCGCUCCCAGAGAAGGUCGCCGCAGCGGUACCGGUCGGCCGCUGUGCCCAGCGACAUGGACUCACACCCCACCUCGCGCCGGUCCUCGCCAGGCCGAUCACCUAUUUUUACGCAGCAGCAAGUGCAAGAAGUGGCAAUCGAUGAAGCAAGCGAAGCCUCGCCGGUGGUUAAAACCGCCCCAGACUCGCCGCUGCCGCGCUCCGCCGAGCCAACUUUCACAGCCGAGGCCUCGCCUCCCGAACCUACAGGGAAUGGUGUGCGGAAGCGGCAACGGCUCGACCGGAGUGUAACGCCGCAGGAUACUAAGAAUGCGCGCCAUGAAGGUCCCGCUGAGGUAGAGUUAUACCUCGAUGGAUGGAUUCCGAAAGCCGGAGACCGAGUUGGGCGUGGCCCAGGCUGGAAAAGCGGCCAGCAAGGAAAAGGUUGCGACUACGGUGUUGUGGAGGGAUGCACAGAAAACGAGGUGCUUGUGCGCUGGGUUCCGAGCCUAGAUCAGCCGGCGGCAGGGGAGCAAGACCGCCUUUUUCUGUACCAGUUUGGCUCGCCGCACUACGAGGUAGUUUCAUGGGAAACGUACCUGCGCGUGAAAACGCUGAAUGUGACGCGGGCGGACAUCCGGAUGCUGGAGCUGCUUCAGAUCGGUAUCGUGGCCGGUAUUCUGUGUCAGCAGAAUGAUGCCAUUCUUCCUGUUUUGCAGUUUCAGACGAUUGAGUCUGCGCUCAAGGUACUGGACUCCAUCGACAUCCGUGCCAGAUUUCUUGAGAACGAGCAAGCGCGCGAAGCUGCAGAGCGCUCCGUGCGCCAAACACUCGCCGAACACAACACAAACGAAGCCACGGAAGAAGAGAUGGUGCGCAGUCUCCUGCAGUGGGAUGUGAACCUCAUUUCAAUGAAACGCUGCUACCGCCUGGAGCGUGAGAUGCUGGCCCGCAUUGGGUGGGUGCUCAGUGCGAUCCUAUCCCACAAGAAGCUGGCGUUUCUCUUUCUAGAUGCGGACGGUGUGAGUCGCAUUCUGCGUCUGGUACAGGGCAAGUUAGACGUGUACACGACGUACGGUUGUGCCAUCGUCCUUUCCCAUCUGGCCAAAACUGCGGUGUUUGAGGAGCUGCUACGACGCCAGAGGAGCUACUUCGAGCCGAUCAUGCAGUUCAUCAUCGACCAGUGGAAGCACACAACAAACAGUGAUGUGCAGAGUAGUGUGGGUGCGUUUCUUUUCCACUCGUUGAGCUUUCCUAUCGUGAUAGACUACUUUGAAGCCGAAAACGGGCCAAUGGAAUCGAUCGAGGCGCUGGAACGGUGUCUCAAGAUUUCGGAAGGGCAGUUCGACGUGAUGCACAGCGACUUACUCCUCGCACUGCUGCGAUGCCUCAACAUCUACCUCGUGACGCACUUGAUGCUCUCCACCAAGGUCAUCUUCAGGAAGCACCGGGUGCUGUCGGCGCUGGUGACACAGUCGUCACGCAUCACGUCCCUUCCGCGGGAUCCGCCAACAGUGGACGCAAUCCUUGGCUUCCUCGCCGCGCCGUCGCCUGGGCUUCCUGGAGUGUCGGCCGAAAACGUGCAGAGUCUGUUGACGGCGGAGCGGCUUGGCGCCAUCCAGAAGCUCGUAGACAAAGGAAUGCACACGCUGCUUCUCCGCUGUGCCAACUUCUUCUUUGUUCAAAGUCGGUGGGACCUCCUCAUCGCAUCGCUUCAGGCGCUGUGCGCGCUGACUGUUAUCCCGUAUGUGCGCCCGCUGAUAGCCGAAGUGCGCUCGCACGAGUCUGGAAUAGCGCAGCUUCUGGCCAUUGUCAACGAUCUUGCAGUGUCGUACCAGAACCGCAACACCUCCCGUGAGGGGCACCUUCUCCCGUGCGUGGUGGCGGCGCUUCAGAUCCUCAUCCACAUUACAAAUCCACCAGCAGACGUGGCGGACGAAAGCGCUGUUGCGAACUUCAACAACGCCUGCGGCGCCUUCCGUGCUAGUGACGGCGUGCGAGCGCUCUUGGAGGUGCUCAAAAUUCGAAAGGAUGCUUCCAUGUCGGCAAAGCUCAACUACUUCCCCGUGGUGGCGCGGGCGGUGCAGUUGAUGGCGGUACUCCGGCGAUACAGCGACACGGCGGCUCUUUUCGAAGCGCUCAACAUACGAACACUGGCGCAGGACCUGUCCGCCCAGUACAGCGAUGUUCAACGUGAGUUCAUCUCCGUUGUCGGAGCCCGAAAGCUGCCAACAGAGCUUGGCCCGGCUGGGCACUUCAUGGACAACCUCAAGUCAUUCAUGCCCAGCGCCUUUGGCGGCGUGAGCCAGGCCGAUGUCGUGAAGGUUCACGCCGUUGAUCCGCUGGAGAUGGAACAGCGGCAAGCUAUUAUCGGCCGCGCGGUGGUGGACUACUCUAAAGAAUCACUGCUCCAACUCAUCGCAGAGCACCUGGACAGCGAAGGUCUCUCCGCGGCAGCAGCGGCGCUGCGGAGCGAGAGUGGCAUCAAAUCGUCCACCGCCACAGGUGCGUCAUACAGCGACGGUGUCACCGCCACCUCGAUGUCGAUCAGCGAUGCGGCCGCCAAGGGGCCGACACCUUCGCUGGACGGAGUCAUACGGUCGUACCUGCGCCAACAACAGGAGCGCUGUCCAAACCCCAUUGAAACACUGCCGCGGUUUGACCUGACGAAGAAACACGUAUAUCUACCGCUGCCCAUCCCGCUGGACGACACGCGGAACGAGUUCAACCGUCUGCUGUGGCGCCGCUGCGGCGGCAAGUUUACGCUGCGCACGCAAACAAAUGCCAACUGGCUCACGUACCGCUACCCGGCGUUUAUGUUCGACAUCACGGGGAGUGGAGAGGAGCUGCAAGGGGAGAGCGUGGCGUUCUGCGAUGGUGGUGACUCCAUCAUGAUUGGAACCUCUGAGGGCUCCAUUGCUCUCUUCGACACCUUCCCUGAGGAGACGCCGGACGAGAAGCUGCUCGAGCAGCACCUGGUCUUUGAGAAUGAGGCCAUCUCAGCCCUCGUCGUGUCCGACGACGGCAGCCUCAUCGCAGCCGUCAAUGACUCUCACAAGGCUCACGUGAUGCGCCGCAACCUACUGCCAGUGGCGCAGCAGGAGCUGACGGAGUGUCGCACGCUGCGCUUUUCGCGCGACAAUCGACUCGCCGUCGUCACAAGUGAGGAGGAGCAUGCCUGCCGUGUACACGACCUUGUCACCGGAGUCGAGUUGCGAACCCUGUCAGACCCGAUUUGGACAGGUGAGAACAUGGCAAACGUGGCCCUGUUCGACUGUACCUCGCAGCUGGUGCUGAACGACGCCAUCCUGUGGGACCUGCGGGCGCCCGAGAAGCCGAUGUUCCGUUUCGACCGCAUCACCGAGUCAUUCGCGAGCGUCUUCCACCCCAAAUUGCCUCUUGUCAUCAUCGACGAAAAAGUGUGGGACAUGCGAACGUGGCGCAUGAUGCAGACAGUCCCGUCGUUUCAGAAGACGACGAGCUUCCAUUGCUCGAAGGCGGGCCGAGUGUUGUACAGUUUCCGCGAGGCCUCUCGUAUCUCCGGCACGCACCUCCCCAUCGUCGCGGCAGUGGACAGCUACACCCUCGACAGCGUCUUCUCCGAGGAGGUGCGGCCCUCCUUCAAGUCCUUUGCUGUCGACCCCUCCGACCGCUACUGCGCCGCCAUUCUCGACCAAGACAUUGAUUCCGUUAUCCGGCUCUUCAGUCUCUCCGCCGGCCCGUACCCGGAUCACGGCGCCUUUGCCUCGCCCGCCGUGCAGGAGGAGCAGGAUAGCGCGAUGGACGCCGAUGAAGAAGAGAUGGAGCAGUGGUCGAUAGAGGAUGACGACUACGACACGGACGACUCGACGGACAGCAACGAUGACGAGUUCGAGGAAGAUGAAGAUGACGAUGACGACAGCUACGACGACGAGGAUGCGGAGGAGGAGUUCGAGGAAUGGGAAGAGGAAGAUGAAGAGGAGAGCAGCCCCGGGACGGGAUCGGGUUCUGACGAGCAGGAAGGCACCCAGGCGUCAUCUCGGCACGCCAGCUAGAACAUAUGAGGCAAUGCGAGUGCGUCGCUCUGCAUCCCCUUUCCUCUUGCCCCCACUCAUUUGCUCUCGGCCUCAGCAGUGGUGCGGUGUUGGUAUGCGGCUUUGUUAAUUUUAUAUCCCUGAUUUGUAUGGACUGUCUUGUAUGCGUGCAUGUGCGAGGGUGUGUGGUGCUGAACGGAACGACGGUGUCUCGGACAUGUUCGACUAAGGUAACUGACAUGAGCAUCAGCCUCUCUUUUCAUGUUUUUUUUUUCCUCUCGACGGCACCCCUUCUUUUCUUGCGCCUCCGUUUCUUUCGCUGUCCGUGUCCACGACAAACUUGCCUUUGUGUGCAUGUGUAUCUGCGUGCGGUCUGCUUCCCUUCCCAGAAGGUCAAGUUCAUGCUAGGAGGAAGAGCAGUUUUGGACGGAGAAGU
RNAcentral lists this unclassified non-coding RNA (5408 nucleotides) under Leishmania donovani. Its description in RNAcentral is "gene:LdHU3.33.2780(CDS-product:hypothetical_prote in_conserved)". The record is from RNAcentral. Lineage: Eukaryota; Euglenozoa; Kinetoplastea; Trypanosomatida; Trypanosomatidae.